Molecule: small nuclear RNA, 107 nt
Organism: Pongo abelii (Sumatran orangutan)
Lineage: Eukaryota; Metazoa; Chordata; Mammalia; Primates; Hominidae
Source: Ensembl
GUGCUUGCUUCGGCAGCACAUUUACUAAAAUUGGAACGAUACAGAGAAGAUUAGCAUGGCGCCUGCGCAAGGAUGACAUACAAAUUCGUGAAGUGUUCCAUAUUUAA